CCUACGGGAGGCAGCAGUGGGGAAUAUUGCACAAUGGGGGAAACCCUGAUGCAGCGACGCCGCGUGAGUGAAGAAGUAAUUCGUUAUGUAAAGCUCUAUCAGCAGGGAAGAAAAUGACGGUACCUGAGUAAGAAGCCCCGGCUAACUACGUGCCAGUAGCCGCGGUAAUACGUAGGGGGCAAGCGUUAUCCGGAUUUACUGGGUGUAAAGGGAGCGUAGACGGCAGUGCAAGUCUGGAGUGAAAGGCGGGGGCUCAACCCCCGGACUGCUCUGGAAACUGUACGGCUGGAGUGCAGGAGAGGUAAGUGGAAUUCCUAGUGUAGCGGUGAAAUGCGGAGAUAUUAGGAGGAACACCAGUGGCGAAGGCGGCUUACUGGACUGUAACUGACGUUGAGGCUCGAAAGCGUGGGGAGCAAACAGGAUUAGAUACCCCGGUAGUC
This 440-nucleotide ribosomal RNA is filed under the name uncultured bacterium. Its description in RNAcentral is "partial 16S ribosomal RNA". It matches the Rfam family "Bacterial small subunit ribosomal RNA", at positions 338 to 795 of the family's 1533-position model. The record is from RNAcentral.